AGUGAACGCUGGCGGUAGGCCUAACACAUGCAAGUCGAACGGCAGCACAGUAAGAGCUUGCUCUUACGGGUGGCGAGUGGCGGACGGGUGAUGAAUACAUCGGAAUCUACUUUUUCUUGGGGGAUAACGUAGGGAAACUUACGCUAAUACCGCAUACGACCUACGGGUGAAAGCAGGGGAUCUUCGGACCUUGCGCGAUUGAAUGAGCCGAUGUCGGAUUAGCUAGUUGGCGGGGUAAAGGCCCACCAAGGCGACGAUCCGUAGCUGGUCUGAGAGGAUGAUCAGCCACACUGGAACUGAGACACGGUCCAGACUCCUACGGGAGGCAGCAGUGGGGAAUAUUGGACAAUGGGCGCAAGCCUGAUCCAGCCAUACCGCGUGUGUGAAGAAGGUCUUCGGGUUGUAAAGCACUUUUGGUGGGAAAGAAAAGCAGCAGGUUAAUACCCCGCUGUUCUGACGGUACCAAAAGAAUAAGCACCGGCUAACUUCGUG
This 492-nucleotide ribosomal RNA is filed under the name uncultured bacterium. RNAcentral's name for it is "partial 16S ribosomal RNA". It matches the Rfam family "Bacterial small subunit ribosomal RNA", at positions 29 to 507 of the family's 1533-position model. The record is from RNAcentral.